RNAcentral lists this long non-coding RNA (505 nucleotides) under Brassica napus (rape). RNAcentral's name for it is "long non-coding RNA (BNAP_LNC005307)". Lineage: Eukaryota; Viridiplantae; Streptophyta; Magnoliopsida; Brassicales; Brassicaceae. The record is from RNAcentral.
AAAAUAGUUUUUUAUUUUGAAAUUUUUAAUAUUUAUUUCUUAAAAUUUGAAAUCUCCUUCCAAACUAUCUAAACUAUUAAAACUGAAGUAUAAAUAAAUCUUCACCCCGAGUUUUCCCCAAUAGUUACAAUCAUAUGCCACUGGACUUAAACACUGUAGUUUUACACUUUCCUUAACCCAUUUAUUUUCUAUACCAAAAAGACGUUAAACCAUCCCGUUCGAUAUACAAUCGUAUUAAUAAAAUUAGACCAGCACGUACUUACAUCAUUCGAAACCAAUACCCCAGUUUUAAUAUUUGACCAACCAGCACAUACCUUAUAUUAUUCCAAUCAAAUACUCCACUAAACGUACGACCGGUAGUUUUUUCUAUUAAAAAAUUAAAACUGCCAAUUACAAACCAAACCAAACUAUUCAUCACGAUUUCUUAAGCUUAAUGGAGAUCAUCAUAUAAACAGUAUAUACAUGCUAAAUAAGAUAUCACAAAUUUUGAUUCACAAUCAUCCCU